This 200-nucleotide long non-coding RNA is filed under the name Gossypium raimondii (Peruvian cotton). Its description in RNAcentral is "long non-coding RNA (GRAI_LNC009686)". Lineage: Eukaryota; Viridiplantae; Streptophyta; Magnoliopsida; Malvales; Malvaceae. The record is from RNAcentral.
UUAAAUCUGGAUCCAUUAAGUAGUGGAUGUCCAUGGUGCGACAGGGAAAGCAUAAAUCACAUAUUCAUUGUGUGUAAUUUUGUUAAUGGAUUUUGGUUACGAAUUUUCAAUUGGUGGGGUGUCAAUUGGAAACUGGUGGAGAAUUUUGUGGAAUUUUUUGCUAUGUGCUGCGAUGUGAAUUAGUUUGGUGUUUAAAAAAG